This 629-nucleotide ribosomal RNA is filed under the name uncultured bacterium. RNAcentral's name for it is "bacterial SSU rRNA". The stretch from base 1 to 527 matches the Rfam family "Bacterial small subunit ribosomal RNA", at positions 338 to 873 of the family's 1533-position model. The record is from RNAcentral.
CCUACGGGAGGCAGCAGUGGGGAAUAUUGGACAAUGGGCGCAAGCCUGAUCCAGCAAUGCCGCGUGAGUGAUGAAGGCCUUAGGGUCGUAAAGCUCUUUUACCAGGGAUGAUAAUGACAGUACCUGGAGAAUAAGCUCCGGCUAACUCCGUGCCAGCAGCCGCGGUAAUACGGAGGGAGCUAGCGUUGUUCGGAAUUACUGGGCGUAAAGCGUACGUAGGCGGUUAUUCAAGUCAGAGGUGAAAGCCCGGGGCUCAACCCCGGAACGGCCUUUGAAACUAGGUAGCUAGAAUCUUGGAGAGGUCAGUGGAAUUCCGAGUGUAGAGGUGAAAUUCGUAGAUAUUCGGAAGAACACCAGUGGCGAAGGCGACUGACUGGACAAGUAUUGACGCUGAGGUACGAAAGCGUGGGGAGCAAACAGGAUUAGAUACCCUGGUAGUCCCACGCCGUAACGAUAGAUAACUAGCUGUUCGGGUCGACUUGGUGUCUUGUAGUGGCGGCAGCUAACGACAUUAAGUUUAAUCCGUCCGUGGGGUAGGUACGGGUCGGCGAAGAAGUUAAAACGUUAAAAGGUAAAGUUAGACGGUCGUGAGACGUUGUCCGAACGGACGACGACGAGGGGAGGUAGGG